UCGAGCCGUAUGAAGGGAAACUCCCACGUACAGUUUGUUUUGGGGGGGAUGGAGCCCGACAGGGUCCCCCCACUGACUUGGCCCGGGCCUAAGUGAAAGUGCAAAAGUGAAGUGGUGGGCCUACCCAUCC
Triticum aestivum (bread wheat) is the source of this 130-nucleotide non-coding RNA. NCBI's taxonomy places the organism in Eukaryota, Viridiplantae, Streptophyta, Magnoliopsida, Poales, Poaceae. The record is from Rfam.